This 1084-nucleotide long non-coding RNA is filed under the name Phasianus colchicus (ring-necked pheasant). Its description in RNAcentral is "lncRNA (ENSPCLG00000020914.1)". The record is from RNAcentral. Lineage: Eukaryota; Metazoa; Chordata; Aves; Galliformes; Phasianidae.
AUUAAGAGUACCUUCAACAAGCUGGCAAUGCUGUAUGGAGAGGAAAGCCAACCCAGUUACAAAAGAAGAAAUAUUGUCUUUGGAACAGGAGGAAUUGAAAAGGUAGUGGGCAGCCUCCAUUCAUCCAAAGGCCAGUAUGAUACUUUGGACUCUGCUUAAGCAUGGUGACUGUAAAUGAAGUGCAACACAUGAAUGUAUUCCCCCCAAGAAAUGCAAUAAACUAUUUUGCUGUCAAGUGCAUUAAGAUUUCAACAUACAGUGAAAUCAUUCUUCUGCUGCUUUCCAGUCAACAGUUUCUUUGGCCCCACGCAGCUCUAUUGAAAGAGCAUAGGCACUUGAGACCUUAUCAGUUUGCAACCUGGCAGAACAUAUUUGAGCUUAUCUGCAUUUUCCAGUGGCUCCAUUGUGUUGGAUGUUUCCAGGAUGUCUACUUUGGCAUCCAGCUUCAGUUGGAUGGUUCUCGCUAGUGUUGGCAGUAAGUAGUACACAGCCCUCUCUUUCUGCUUUUCCUUGUGUGACUUUCUAGUUUUCUUGUUUGUGUCCCCACAACAGGCCUUCUGUAGCUGAGCUGCCUUUGCAUAGUCCUUGGCAUGAAGAGAUGAGCUGUUUCUCUGGGUUCAUCUGUUCUGGCAUCUGUUCUUUUUGCCUAGUCUGAGAGUCUGUCCUUUGCCAUAAAGCUAUGGUUUCUCAUCCUGUUGUACUGCAGCAAGUACAUAAAAUUUCCAGCUUUUUGUCCUCCACUAACCUGCAGGUUCAACACUACUCAUGCAAACGAGCAUAGGUUUGUUUCUUUCUGUAACGCCAUGGCCUGUGCUUCAAUGAUACAAUUUUUUAUUUUUUUCACAGCAAUCUUUGUUUCUCUGUCAACCUAAUAUACAUAGUAUACGGCCUGCAUAAAAUAUUAGUCUUGAGAGCGUUUUCUUAACUCAUAUAUUUGCUGAAAAACUCUUACCCUUUCUUACCUGUAUGAACAGGAUCCUGCUUCAAGCCAGUAAUGUUUUUCCCCUCUUUUUUCUUUCUUUAUCUGAUUCUCUGAAGUUCUAUGUAACAGAAAGAAAAGCCCUUCUUUGACCUGCAAAAUUGU